RNAcentral lists this ribosomal RNA (47 nucleotides) under Corynascella humicola. Its description in RNAcentral is "partial 28S ribosomal RNA". The record is from RNAcentral. Lineage: Eukaryota; Fungi; Ascomycota; Sordariomycetes; Sordariales; Chaetomiaceae.
UUCUCAAGGUUGACCUCGGAUCAGGUAGGAAGACCCGCUGAACUUAA